Molecule: ribosomal RNA, 645 nt
Filed under: uncultured archaeon
Lineage: Archaea
Description: bacterial SSU rRNA
Rfam family: Archaeal small subunit ribosomal RNA
Source: RNAcentral
GGCUCAGUAACACGUAGUCAACCUACCUUCGGGACGGGGAUAACCUCGGGAAACUGAGGACAAUCCCCGAUAGGUGAGGGACGCUGGAAUGCCCCCUCGCCCAAAUCCUCCGGGGCCCGAGGAUGGGACUGCGGCCUAUCAGGCUGUUGGUGGUGUGACAGACCACCAAACCUACAACGGGUACGGGCGAUGGGAGUCGGAGCCCGGAGAUGGGGACUGAGACAAGGCCCCAGGCCCUACGGGGCGCAGCAGGCGCGAAAACUCCGCAAUGCGCGAAAGCGUGACGGGGGAACCCCAAGUGCCGUUGGUCUUUUGAUCGACGGCUUUUCGAGAGUCUAAGAAGCUCUUGGAAUAAGGGCUGGGCAAGUCGGGUGCCAGCCGCCGCGGUAAUACCCGCAGCCCAAGUGGUGGUCACGAUUAUUGGGCCUAAAGCGCUCGUAGCCGGGUCAACAAGUCCCUUGUGAAAUCGGACGGCCUAACCGUUCGGCUUGCAAGAGAUACUGUUGGUCUCGAGGCCGGGAGACGUCUGAGGUACUCCGGGGGUAGCGGUGAAAUGCUGUAAUCCUCGGGGGACCACCAGUGGCGANNGCGUCAGACGAGANCGGACCUGACNGUGAGGGGCGANNGCUAGGNAGCGAACGGGAU